AGAAUGAACGUUGGCGGUGUGCUUAACACAUGCAAGUCGAACGAGAAAGUUCUUCGGAAUGAGUAUAGUGGCGAACGGGUGAGUAACGCGUGAGGAUCUCCCCUUCAGUGAAGGAUACCCUUGAGAAAAUUAAGGUUAAUACUGCAUACGUCCCAUAGAAAUAUGGGAGAAAGAUGGCCUCUUGCUGUCGCUGAAAGAUGAACUUGCGUUCUAUUAGCUAGUUGGUGGGGUAAAGGCUCACCAAGGCGAUGAUGGAUAGCCGGCCUGAGAGGGUGAACGGCCACAUUGGAACUGAAACACGGUCCAGACUCCUACGGAGGCAGCAGUGGGGAAUUUUGCGCAAUGGGGGAAACCCUGACGCAGCAACGCCGCGUGGAGGAUGAAGUCCUUCGGGACGUAAACUCCUUUCGAUCGGGACGAUUAUGACGGUACCGGAAGAAGAAGCCCGGCUAACUUCGUGCCAGCAGCCGC
Molecule: ribosomal RNA, 471 nt
Filed under: uncultured bacterium
Lineage: Bacteria
Description: SSU rRNA
Rfam family: Bacterial small subunit ribosomal RNA
Source: RNAcentral